AACAGGCUUAUCUCCCCCAAGAGUCCACAUCGACGGGGAGGUUUGGCACCUCGAUGUCGGCUCAUCACAUCCUGGGGCUGUAGUAGGUCCCAAGGGUUGGGCUGUUCGCCCAUUAAAGUGGUACGCGAGCUGGGUUCAGAACGUCGUGAGACAGUUCGGUCCCUAUCCGUCGCAGGCGUAGGCAAUUUGAGAAGACCUGUCCUUAGUACGAGAGGACCGGGAUGGACGUACCUCUGGUGUACCAGUUGU
This 249-nucleotide ribosomal RNA is filed under the name Clostridioides difficile. RNAcentral describes it as "partial 23S ribosomal RNA". It matches the Rfam family "Bacterial large subunit ribosomal RNA", at positions 2476 to 2724 of the family's 2925-position model. The record is from RNAcentral. Lineage: Bacteria; Bacillati; Bacillota; Clostridia; Peptostreptococcales; Peptostreptococcaceae.